This 2547-nucleotide long non-coding RNA is filed under the name Paramuricea clavata. Lineage: Eukaryota; Metazoa; Cnidaria; Anthozoa; Malacalcyonacea; Plexauridae. The record is from RNAcentral.
CUAAGGGAAAGUUCGAUACUAAAUCUACUAAACUUAGAUCGGUUGAUAGAUUUUUAAUAAGUUUAGAAAGUUACAGUCAAAAGCUGAAUUGUUUAAAAACUUGACAUAUAGUAUGUUGUUAAAAUUCUACAAUAGUAUGAAUUAAAAUAAAGCUAUUCUUCAAUAUAUUUGUUUUACAAGUUGGAACGCUAAAUUUACGUUUAUUUCUAAGGUUUACAUUAAGAUCAGGAAGAAGAUGUUGUAGUUUGUGGUCAGGGUCUUAGCCAGGAUUUGCAACUUGGGUGUCCAAAUUUGAAAUUUCAUUUAUGACACCCAUAUUUUACCAUAUGGAACCAUGGCACCACUUCAUGCACCAGUAAUUCAAUGUAAUUAUUUCCGAAUGCUGGGAGUAAUCGGUGACCGCACUUGAGAAUCGCUCAAAAAACUAAUAAUAUAUUCAAUUAUUCAGACUAUGUGACUACUCAUUACACUGACUACAGUAGUACAGUUUAAGUAAAUCUGCCAAUAUAUUAAUCUUAUGAUUGAUAUUAUGUUGUCACUUUCAUGCUAUAAAUACAAUACUUGUAGCUUUGAUAAGCUAUAGUGUGAGUGAAGAGCAACUAAUUAUCUUAUAUAGUUAUAUUCUACGGUUUUUGGCAGCUAGGCCUAGGAAUCUUUGGUUCGGCAGAUUUGGCAGCUUGCAAGUGAGCAAUGUUUAUGUUUACCGCCCAAAAGCCGUCUUUUUUAGAAGGCCGUCCAAAUUUGAAAAUGGCCGUCCAAAAGACGGCUGGACGGUAGGCUGGCUAAGACCCUGUUUGUGGUUAGGAUCACGGCAAAUUUCAUGAAACUGUGUCUGAAACUCUGUCUUGCAGACCACUAAUGGUUAGUAUUUUAUUUACCACAUAUGACCACCCGUCAAUAGUGAGUUUGGAAAAGAUAAUGUUUACGCAUCACAUUCCAAACAAUCCCUGACUAUCGUAACGUUUCUGUGCUCUCUUGACUCUUGUUAUCAAUUUUAUGUUUUGCUCCAGUUUCGCCCCAAAUUCCACUGAUGGGGAAUUCCUGUUGAAAAAUAACUGCAAAUUGUAAAGCGUAUCAGUAUUUAUUGGAUCAGUAAAUUUGAUUUUGCUCCAUCGGCUCAUCCCUAUCAAGGGGGAAAGUGUUUCGUGUUCAUAAGAAAUGUGGCCAUUGCAAUGACUUGAGACCAAAGAAGAAACUGAAAUAAGUUGUAACUGAACAGUUGACACAUUAUGAAAUAAACUUUCUUUGAAAUGUUUAAUUGCGUCGGAUGAUUGACUGCUAGACUGAUCUUGAACGUUCCAGUUAUAUACUGAGGCCGGUUGUACGAAGGCUGAAUAGAGAUUUUUUCAAGCUUUCUUAAAAGUUGUCCGUUAAUUGGUAAAAUUAAGAAUUAUUUUUAUUACUUGUGAAGUCCUUGUCCGUGUUUUUUUGGAGCUUCUCAAGCAAUUUUACAACGGUUGAAAAAUCGUUAUCCGGUGGUAAGGUUAUCCGGCCUUCGUAAGCCGUUUGCCAUUACCGCCGAUUUGCCCGAUCGGUAAUGGAAAACAUUCGUUGUAGCUGUCCAGCUUGACAGUUUCAGUCUGCUUCAUUCUGCUGGGUUGUACCAAUCAACUGACAACUUUAGAAAGCUUGAAAUAUCGCUACCGGGUUCGUACAAGUUACAACCGACCCCUGGUCCCCUGGAGUAUAUCAUUACACACGUGUCUUUAACAACCUCGUCCCCAUUGCCUUCAUUAAGCCCUGGUCGAACACCGCGGUCAAACGUACGAAAUAGUAUUGUCUUUACCGAGAGUUUUUAAACUCGUAAUUUUGAAGAUAACUUCGUCUUUGACUUAACACUAGUUAACCCAUUGACCCGCAAUGCGCCCCAGUGCAAGGAAAAACUGAGUUGUAAAUUUCUCCACCUUAUACCUUCAGCCGUUUCCUCAUAGUAGUGAACACUUUUCUUCUCUCGUAUGUACUGCUAUUAUUUUGGCAGUCAUUUUCGGAGAUUCACGCAUGCACUUUGCUUUUGACAGCGGUGUUAAUCGAACGAGAGUCAACCUCGUACCCAGGCAAGCGCAGAAGCACUGGGUACGAGGUUGCAUGUGAGUUGAUUGGAUAUAACAAUAGAAUAAGGUUAGGAAACUCGAUGCAGUCAUAAUAGACCUCGUGAUAUAACCAACUGUCUUUGAACCAGCUGAAAGUUGGCGAAAGUACAUGGCAGUUGAUGGUCAAACGCAAGCGAGAGUUGCAACUCCCGUCCUCGUUUGACCAGGGCUUUACAUUUAGGGUUUAAAAUUUCUGUAUGUUUUCAUGAUAAAGCCAGGGCUAUGUGGGUAUGGUACGCUCAAUUAUAUCUAAAAAUUUGGGGUUAAAUGGGGUGCCAGCAUGUAAAAUGCUUCACGGGGUGCCAGCAUGUAAAAUGCUUCACGGAUUGCCAGCAGUUUCACCAUCCGCGAAGCAUUUCACGAUCCGCACGGUCGGAUCGUCCACAUUAAUGGGCGGGGGGUCUGCCACCGCACGUGUUUCGGAGUUUACUAUAUGGCAACGUGCGAAUGAUUUACU